Molecule: ribosomal RNA, 253 nt
Filed under: uncultured bacterium
Lineage: Bacteria
Description: partial 16S ribosomal RNA
Rfam family: Bacterial small subunit ribosomal RNA
Source: RNAcentral
UACAGAGGUCUCAAGCGUUGUUCGGAUUCAUUGGGCGUAAAGGGUGCGUAGGCGGCGCGGUAAGUCGGGUGUGAAAUCUCGGGGCUUAACUCCGAAACUGCAUUCGAUACUGCCGUGCUUGAGGACUGGAGAGGAGACUGGAAUUUACGGUGUAGCGGUGAAAUGCGCAGAUAUCAGGAGGAACACCGAUGGCGAAGGCAGGUCUCUGGGCCACUACUGACGCUGAGAAGCGAAAGCAUGGGGAGCGAACAGG